RNAcentral lists this ribosomal RNA (170 nucleotides) under uncultured Actinomycetes bacterium. RNAcentral's name for it is "uncultured actinobacterium partial 16S ribosomal RNA". It matches the Rfam family "Bacterial small subunit ribosomal RNA", at positions 304 to 464 of the family's 1533-position model. The record is from RNAcentral. Lineage: Bacteria; Bacillati; Actinomycetota; Actinomycetes.
UUUCCCCCCCCGGGCCCCGGGCCCGUCCCGCCGCCCCCGCCCGCCUAAGGGAGGCAGCAGUGGGGAAUAUUGCGCAAUGGGCGAAAGCCUGACGCAGCGACGCCGCGUGAGGGACGAAGGUCUUCGGAUUGUAAACCUCUUUCAGCAGGGACGAAGCGAAAGUAACGACA